CCAAGACCCCACCACACUUCCACUCUUUCUCCUGGAAGUCGGGCACACGGUCGGCACACAGCAGCCCAGCCCAGCCCAGCCCAGCCCAGCCUGCUGGAGGAUGAGGGGCCACGUGAAACAAAGAUGAGCUGCCCCAGCAGAGACCAUCCCAUACCAGCCAGCCUCCUGAAGAUGCUUGAAAGGGUCCAGAUGAGCUGAGCCUGGCCCAGAUUAGCAGAACCACCAAGCUGAUCUGCUGAUCAGCGAGCAAAAAUAAAUGGUUCGAGUAGCAGACAUUCCUGAUUGCUGGCAAAGGAUUUGGGAAUCUCAGUUGAAAAAGCCAGCAAUGGUGGCUGCGAUUCCUCCAUUGGCCAUUGGCCAGGAGUGAAUGCGUGACCCAUUUCUGAUGGUGAGGUAGAAGGCUGAGCCACCUGGAGGGCUGUGGGGAAAGAUUUCCUUUUUCUGGAGGACAGAAACACUAGAACAUACAACCUUUUUCUGAUUUUUCUUGCUGCCCACCAUCUUGCAACAAUGGAGGAGGCCUACCUGAGGCUGAAGGUAACUGAGGACGGCAGAGAACAGACACCAAGGUCACCCGGAUCGCUCAGACACCGAGACAGAGCCAUGCUUGGGAUCCAUAGUGUGUUUCCUUUGAAUUUUCCCAUUUGUUUCAGCGAGUUUGAUUUUUUUUUUUUUCCUUUUACUGGUAGCCAAAAGCAUCCUAAUGGGUAGAGUUCCAAUCAUCAGAUAAAAAGAUCCAGCCAUCUGGUUGUUGAGUCCUUUAUUCCUACAAAAACCAAAGUAAAAGUUCAGAGGACACUGAAGCCGAUUCCCAGGAAGCAGACCUCAAUUUGUGGGAGCCCUAUAUUUCUGACCCAUAUCUGCUCCUUUUGGCUGACUUUAGCAGUAAGCAGUGGCCUUGGGACACAAAGCAGGAUGACUGCAGGAUGCGGGUAAAGCAAGAAGACUUUGGGAAGCUCUGGGGAGCAUGGCUCAAAGUGCGGGCCAGAGAUCUGAGUACACAACAGAUGUUCCACGCAUGUGUGCUCUUGGGGGCGUUCUCCCUUCCACUGGUCCCAACUUUUCUUCCCCAUCCCUGGACUCCAGGAAGCACAUGGUAUGUGUCUUUAUUCAGAGAUGACCGUCAAAACAUUUAGCAACUGCUAUGUUCAGAUGCAGACCAAACAAAACAGAGGACCACUGCAGUGCUGGGGCAGGGGUUUGGAGGCCCCUGUUUAGGGAUCAUGGGGAAGUUGGGGCCACUGGGUGGGAAGCAGGUCCUUGAGGUGGGUUCAGGACAGAAAAGACAGAAGAUGGAUUCUGUGGGGCAAGUGGGUGGGCAGUGAGGACAGCAUGUGUUUACCUGCCUGGAGUUAGUUGCUGAAAUUUUAACAACUUGUUUGGCCAUCCUGAGAGGCAUACUAGACAAUUCUAUUCUCAUACAUAUUCCUUUCUAUGUGCCUGUGUUUGCUCUGCUAGCUUGGGGACCCCAGAGGCCAGAGGCACUGUGAUACCCACUGAUUUGCAUAUCCCCAGCACACAGGCCAUCUCAACACAGUUGGGUGAAUUGAACAGAGUCAACAAUAUAAAUCCCCAAGACCCAUUCUCUUCAUCUAGUCUAGAUUCUGAAUAAAGAAGAAUCUGACUGGUCACAGCCAUUUUCCUCUGAAACAAUUAUUUCUUUGGAGCAGAGUUAUGGGGAGUUAAGGUGACCUCUGACGGUCCGACCUCCUUCGCCCUGAGAUAGCUCAAGAUCAAACUGUCUCACCGAGGAGAGCAGAUGGCAGAGGGAGCUGGGGGGAGAGGGCAGCCCCCUGUGUCUUGCAGGCUAUGGAGCACGCUGUGCCUCCGUCAUCAUUAGUGAUUCAAUAGUUCUCAUUUGACUGAGAAAGAGUGCGAAACCCUGCUCCAUACAACCUUGUCCUGGGAACUCCUCGGAAAACCAGGAAUCCCAGGACGUGGACGCUGUCUGGUUCUUGAGGGCACUGCUGUGUCCUAUUCACCUUUCUUUUCCCCAACACCAAUCCUGGCAGGGGCUCCAGGGCCAGCUGCUAGGAGCCUGAGUGAGGGAAUGAAUGAAUGAGUGAAUGAAUGAAUGGGGGCACCCUCCUUUGCAAGUAGUUUUGAAAUGAAGACAUGAAAUGAACUUUGGAGUCAUAGUAAUUUGGGUUCCCAUCCAGGUUUUGCCACUUAAAGGCUAUUGAAUUCGGGCAAACUCCUUAGUUUAGAUAAAUUUCUGUUUCUUACGUACAAAUAGAUAUAAUAAAACCAACACCAACGGCUCACAACUCCUGUAAAGUGCCCAGUAUAACACCCAACAGUGCCUAAUGAAUUGUAGCUACUCCCCUUCUAUCAUCAUUUUCAUUUUUUUCUUCCUUUCACUUUCCUUGUUUUAAUAUUAUUAUUAUUAUUAUUAUUAUCAUUAUUAUUAUUAUUCUUAAACUCACUACCCAGAGAUACUCUUUGAAUGUAAUAGAACUGCCUGGUUUGAGGUUUGUUUGCCCCCCCCCCCCCCCACCUAAAUAAUAUCUGGAUAAAUCAGCAUAAAAUUGUCUCUCUAAACAGUCUUUGCUGUCCAUUUAUGGCCAUUUCACUUGCAUCCACUAAGGGGGAAGAGCUAUUGGAAACAAGCCUAAGAAAGCAUGUAAUGUCUAAAUACAGCGGGUACCUACUUCCGGCGAUCUGCCUCUUAAUUUUCACCGGGCACUUAUGGUGUGCCAGGCACAGUGCAAAGCUCCUUACUGUUCUUAUCUCUUUCCUAAUCCCUAUCAGAACCAGGGAAGUGGGUAUCAAGGUAAUCUUCAAUUUACAGAUGAGGAAAGCGAGGCUCAGAGAGGUUGAAUGAGGAGGUCAAGGGGAUGAGCGUGACAGAGCCAGCAUCAUGAGCAAUGCUGGUUGGCCCCCACCUGCCAUUCCCUCCUCCCCUUGGGUUUUCAGCCAUUAGCUCCACCCCUAACUCCAAUGAAUGACUCUAAUUGGUUUAAGCCAAUUCUGGAAGUCUUAGCCUUUUUGGACAGUGAUUGGCUCAAAUAAACCAGAAUGUAGC
Long non-coding RNA from Herpailurus yagouaroundi (jaguarundi), 3025 nucleotides. RefSeq lists it as uncharacterized. The record is from RefSeq and is a predicted model, not a curated record. Lineage: Eukaryota; Metazoa; Chordata; Mammalia; Carnivora; Felidae. The transcript has 2 exons.